GCCUGUUUGGCUCAGUGGAUAGAGUGUCUGCCUGCAGACAGAAGGGUCCUGGGUUCAAUUCCAGUAAAAGACA
Molecule: non-coding RNA, 73 nt
Organism: Myotis brandtii (Brandt's bat)
Lineage: Eukaryota; Metazoa; Chordata; Mammalia; Chiroptera; Vespertilionidae
Source: Rfam